UACGUAGGGGGCAAGCGUUGUCCGGAAUUAUUGGGCGUAAAGAGCGUGUAGGCGGCCAGAUAAGUCCGCUGUGAAAUCUCGAGGCUCAACUUCGAGCUGUCGGUGGAAACUAUCUGGCUAGAGUCCGGAAGAGGAGAAUGGAAUUCCUGGUGUAGCGGUGAAAUGCGCAGAUAUCAGGAGGAACACCAGCGGCGAAGGCGGCGCUCUGGGCCGGUACUGACACUGAGGAGCGAAAGCGUGGGGAGCAAACAGG
This 253-nucleotide ribosomal RNA is filed under the name uncultured bacterium. Its description in RNAcentral is "partial 16S ribosomal RNA". It matches the Rfam family "Bacterial small subunit ribosomal RNA", at positions 524 to 776 of the family's 1533-position model. The record is from RNAcentral.